GGGUCAGUAGGUUGGUCGUGCCACCGGUACGUACUGGCCUCACUGAUUCCUCCUUCCUGAAGAACCGUAAUGCCAUUAAUUUGGUGUUGCGGGGAAACAGGACUGUUACUUUGAAAAAAUUAGAGUGUUUAAAGCAAGCUAACGCUUGAAUACAUUAGCAUGGAAUAAUGAAAUAGGACGAUCGACCCUAUUUUGUUGGUUUCUAGGAUUGACGUA
Molecule: ribosomal RNA, 216 nt
Filed under: Glomeromycotina sp.
Lineage: Eukaryota; Fungi; Glomeromycota
Description: partial small subunit ribosomal RNA
Rfam family: Eukaryotic small subunit ribosomal RNA (bases 40-216)
Source: RNAcentral